UGGUCAAGCUAUUAAGGGCACAUGGGGGAUGUCUUGGCAUCAGAAGAAAAGGCGUGGAAGACUGCGAUAAGCUCGGGGAAGUUGUCAAACGAACGUUGAUCCCGAGAUUCCUGUUCAACCCAGGGAACUGAAACAUCUAAGUACCUGGUGGAGAAGAAAGAAAAAUCGAUUCCGUCAGUAGCGGCGAGCGAAAUCGGAAUAGCCCAAACCUUGAAGAUUUUCUUCAAGGGGUUGUAGGACCUCUCGUAUGGGAGUUACAAAGCCACCAAUUAGCCGAUAUGACAUGGAAAGGUCAACCAUAGAGGGUGACAGUCCCGUAGGCGAAAGUUGAGUGGCCUCCCGAGAGGCACCUGAGUAGGUCCAGUCACGUGAAACCUGGAUUGAAUCCGCGGGGUCCAUCCCGCAAGGCUAAAUACUCUCUGAUGACCGAUAGUGAACUCAGUAGCGCGAGUGAAAGAUGAGAAGAACCCCGACAAGGGGAGGUAUGUGAACCUGAAACCAUGUGCCUACAAGCGGUCGGAGCCCGAUUUAUGGGUGACGGCGUGCCUUUUGCAUAAUGAUCCGGCGAGUUACCGUCUGCGGCAGGUUAAGGCCUUACGGGCUGUAGCCAGAGGGAAACCGAGUCUUAAUAGGGCGUUAGUCGUAGGUGGUAGACGCGAAACCACGUGAUCUACCCAUGAGCAGGUUGAAGCGCGGGUUAUACCGCGUGGAGGACCGAACCCACUUGGGUUGAAAACCGAGGGGAUGACUUGUGGGGAGGAGUGAAAGUCUAAUCAAACGUGGAGAUAUCUCGUUCUCUCCGAAAUAGCUUUUGGGCUAGCCUUGAGCCACUACACACCGGGGGUAGAGAGACUGAAUCGGUUUGGGGCCCUUCCCGGGGUACCCUGCUGGACCAAACUCCGAAUACCGGUGUGACUAUCUCAGGAGUCAGUCCGCGAGGGAUAAGCUUCGCGGUCGAGAGGGAAACAACCCAGACCGUCUGCUAAGGUCCCCAAGAGAUGCUCAGUCACUAAGGAAGUUGAAUUGCCGAGACAACCAGGAUGUUGGCUUAGAAGCAGCCACCAUUUAAAAAGUGCGUAACAGCUUACUGGUCGAGCAAUUCUGCGCCGAUAAUGAACGGGAGUAAGCAUCUCACCGAAGCAGCGGAUUCGAAAGAAUGGUAGGAGAGCGCCGAUCGUCAGAUACGAGCCGUACCGUAAGGAGCGGUGUUGGGGCGAUCGGGUGAUAAUGCCGGAAUGAGUAACGAUAAAACAGGUGAGAAUCCUGUUCGCCGAAAGCCUAAGGUUUCCUGGGGAAGGCAAUUCCGCCCAGGGUUAGCCGGUCCCUUAGUCGAGGCUGAAAAGCGUAGACGAUGGACAGUGGGUCAAUAUUCCCACGCUACGGUUGUGGACUGAUGGAGGGACGGCGUUUCAAAAGUGAUCGGACUGGUAGACAUGUCCGUGGGCCCAAGCAAGGUGAGGAAUAGGCAAAUCCGUCCUCAUAAGCCAAGUUUGGGAACUGACUCUUCGGAGGUAAUCAUUGGAGGGACGUCCAAGAAAAGCUUCUAAAGGUUGAAGCAACUGUAACCGUACUAAAACUGACACAGGUAGGCGAGUCGAGUAGACUAAGGCGCUCGGGAGAACGGUGGUUAAGGAACUCUGCAAAAUGGCCCCGUAAGUUCGCGAUAAGGGGUGCCCCUGAUGGUUCACGCUGUCGGGGGUCACAGUAAAUCGGCUCUGGCAACUGUUUAUCAAAAACACAGGACCCUGCUAACUCGCAAGAGGAUGUAUAGGGUCUGACGCCUGCCCGGUGCCGGUAG
Molecule: ribosomal RNA, 1798 nt
Filed under: Blastopirellula marina
Lineage: Bacteria; Pseudomonadati; Planctomycetota; Planctomycetia; Pirellulales; Pirellulaceae
Description: bacterial LSU rRNA
Rfam family: Bacterial large subunit ribosomal RNA
Source: RNAcentral